Molecule: transfer RNA, 69 nt
Filed under: Cyrtodactylus philippinicus
Lineage: Eukaryota; Metazoa; Chordata; Lepidosauria; Squamata; Gekkonidae
Description: tRNA-Trp
Source: RNAcentral
AAGCUUAGGUUAAACAAACCUGGGACCUUCAAAGCCCCGAACAAGAGCCAACCAACCCUCCUAGCUUCU